GAUCAUGGCUCAGAUUGAACGCUGGCGGCAUGCUUUACACAUGCAAGUCGAACGGUAACAGGCCUUCGGGUGCUGACGAGUGGCGAACGGGUGAGUAAUGCAUCGGAACGUGCCCAGAGGUGGGGGAUAACGCAGCGAAAGCUGUGCUAAUACCGCAUGUGAUCUGAGGAUGAAAGCGGGGGACCAAGCAGCAAUGUUUGGCCUCGCG
Molecule: ribosomal RNA, 208 nt
Filed under: uncultured bacterium
Lineage: Bacteria
Description: partial 16S ribosomal RNA
Rfam family: Bacterial small subunit ribosomal RNA
Source: RNAcentral